RNAcentral lists this transfer RNA (76 nucleotides) under Atopobium deltae. RNAcentral's name for it is "tRNA-Thr". It matches the Rfam family "tRNA". Rfam says of the family: Transfer RNA (tRNA) molecules are approximately 80 nucleotides in length. Their secondary structure includes four short double-helical elements and three loops (D, anti-codon, and T loops). Lineage: Bacteria; Bacillati; Actinomycetota; Coriobacteriia; Coriobacteriales; Atopobiaceae. The record is from RNAcentral.
GCCAGCUUAGCUCAGUUGGUAGAGCAUCGCUCUCGUAAAGCGGAGGUCAUCGGUUCGAGUCCGACAGCUGGCUCCA